RNA transcript from Trichechus manatus latirostris (Florida manatee), 833 nucleotides. It is a transcript of the gene named translationally-controlled tumor protein pseudogene, with no coding region annotated. The record is from RefSeq and is a predicted model, not a curated record. The transcript has a single exon. Lineage: Eukaryota; Metazoa; Chordata; Mammalia; Sirenia; Trichechidae.
ACUGGUAUAACAAAGUUUAUUAAGAAAAUGUUCUGCUUUUUCUGCCCACUCCCGCCUCCCCUCGAGGGCCCGUGCAGCUGCACCACACUCAUUCUGGUCUCCUUAAGCUAGCACCGCCAUCGUCUCUCCUCAGCCACCAUCAUGAUUAACUACCGGGACCUCAUCAGCCAUGAUGAGAUGUUCUCCGACAUUUACAAGAUCUGGGAGAUUGCAGACGGGCUGUGCCUGGAGGUGGAGGGGAAGAUGGUCAGUAGGACAAAGGGUAACAUUGAUGACUCGCUCAUUGGUGGAAACACCUCAGCUGAAGGCUCCAAUGGUGAAGAAACUGAAAGCACAGUAAUCACUGGUGUUGAUACUGUCAUCAACUAUCACUUGCAGGAAAUCAGCUUCACAAAAGAAGCCUACAAGUAGUACAUCAAAGAUUACAUGAAAUCUAUCAAAGGGAAACUUGAGGAACAGAGACCUGGAAGAGUAAAACCUUUUAUGACAGGGGCUGCAGAACAAAUCAAGCACAUCCUUGCUAAUUUCAAAAACUACCAGUUCUUUAUCGGUGAAAACAUGAAUCCAGAUGGCAUGGUUGCUCUGCUGGACUACCGUGAGGAUGGUGUGACCCCAUAUAUGAUUUUCUUUAAGGAUGGUUUAGAAAUGGAGAAAUGUUAACAGAUUUGGUAAUUAUUUGGAUCUAUCAUCUGUCAUCCUAACUGGCUGCUGCUCUUCAUCCACACAACACCAGGACUUAGACAAACGGGACUGAUGUCAUCUUGAGCUCUUCAUUUAUUUUGACCUUGAUUUAUUUGGAGCAGAGGCAUUUUUUUUCCUAAAAGAAAAAAAAA